AGAAAACAUGACAGAAAACAAAGCUCUCUGCUGAGAAAGUGUGAGGGCAGGUGGUUUGCACCUGGCCUGCAUAGGGAUGUUGUGGCUGCUUUGUUCUUCGAGGCACACAAAUCGGUCCCUCCUUCUGAGGCCUUCCAGGAUGCGCUUUUGAGGUUCACAGAACAGGCUUUGGAGCUACAGCUAGGAAAGCGGAGAGAUCAGUGGCCAGAACCUGGGGAAGGGGAGAAGGGGAGGCUGAAACUCAGUGGACGCAAGAGGAGGAGAAGGGCCCAGGGACCUGAGGCGUUUGGAGUGGACAAGCCCUCCUGUCUGUUUGCACAGCACCGGGUGCAGGUCUCAGGGGCAGCCGCUGGACCCGCGUCUCACUGCUUCUCUGACAUUCGCACCCUGCCCACGCCUGCCUGCGGGCUCAGUCACGUCCUCCUCGUCGGCUGCGUCCCCCACGCACGCUGCGUCAGCCUCCCAAGAUUCAGGGCCAUGACAGUGAGCGCCUAGAGGACUUAUGCCAGGUCAGCUUACAGUAGGAACACGUUCUUCACGGAUUCACCUUUAGACAGUCAUUUCUCUGCAAGCAGAGGCAAGGCUGGAUGCUGACUCAGGAAUGCUUGUUCCAGCAGAACUGGGAGGUUGAAAACCUGCGUUCUCUCCACCAGCUCCUCACCUGUGGGCCAAGAAACCAAGGGACCUCAGCAGUCUCAUCAUGGGUAUGCAGGAGCCUUCUGUCCCCUCUUACCUGUACCCCAUCUUUGUAUCACUUUUGUGCUAAUUUUGCAAAUGUAUCAACGCUAAGUAAAUUUGAAUAAG
This 804-nucleotide long non-coding RNA is filed under the name Ursus maritimus (polar bear). Its description in RNAcentral is "lncRNA (ENSUMAG00000001685.1)". The record is from RNAcentral. Lineage: Eukaryota; Metazoa; Chordata; Mammalia; Carnivora; Ursidae.